Molecule: ribosomal RNA, 1322 nt
Filed under: uncultured bacterium
Lineage: Bacteria
Description: bacterial SSU rRNA
Rfam family: Bacterial small subunit ribosomal RNA
Source: RNAcentral
GAUGAACGCUGGCGGCGUGCUUAACACAUGCAAGUCGAACGAACCUUCGGGUUAGUGGCGGACGGGUGAGUAACGCGUGGGAAUCUGCCCUCAGGAGGGGGAUAACGGUUGGAAACGACCGCUAAUACCCCAUAUGCCGAGAGGUGAAAUGAAUUUCGCCUGAGGAUGAGCCCGCGUCUGAUUAGCUUGUUGGUGAGGUAAUGGCUCACCAAGGCAUCGAUCAGUAGCUGGUCUGAGAGGAUGAUCAGCCACACUGGGACUGAGACACGGCCCAGACUCCUACGGGAGGCAGCAGUGGGGAAUUUUCCGCAAUGGGCGAAAGCCUGACGGAGCAACGCCGCGUGAGGGACGAAGGCCUCUGGGCUGUAAACCUCUUUUCUCAAGGAAGAAGAUAUGACGGUACUUGAGGAAUAAGCCACGGCUAAUUCCGUGCCAGCAGCCGCGGUAAUACGGGAGUGGCAAGCGUUAUCCGGAAUUAUUGGGCGUAAAGCGUCCGCAGGCGGCCCUUCAAGUCUGCUGUUAAAGCGUGGGGCUCAACUCCAUCAUGGCAGUGGAAACUGAUAGGCUUGAGUAUGGUAGGGGCAGAGGGAAUUCCCGGUGUAGCGGUGAAAUGCGUAGAUAUCGGGAAGAACACCAGUGGCGAAGGCGCUCUGCUGGGCCAUUACUGACGCUCAUGGACGAAAGCCAGGGGAGCGAAAGGGAUUAGAUACCCCUGUAGUCCUGGCCGUAAACGAUGAACACUAGGUGUCGGGGGAAUCGACCCCUUCGGUGUCGUAGCUAACGCGUUAAGUGUUCCGCCUGGGGAGUACGCACGCAAGUGUGAAACUCAAAGGAAUUGACGGGGGCCCGCACAAGCGGUGGAGUAUGUGGUUUAAUUCGAUGCAACGCGAAGAACCUUACCAGGGCUUGACAUCCUGCGAACCUUUAAGAAAUUAGAGGGUGCCUUCGGGAACGCAGUGACAGGUGGUGCAUGGCUGUCGUCAGCUCGUGUCGUGAGAUGUUGGGUUAAGUCCCGCAACGAGCGCAACCCACGUUUUUAGUUGCCAGCAUUUAGUUGGGCACUCUAGAAAGACCGCCGGUGAUAAACCGGAGGAAGGUGUGGAUGACGUCAAGUCAUCAUGCCCCUUACGUCCUGGGCUACACACGUACUACAAUGCUACGGACAAAGGGCAGCAAACUCGCGAGAGCUAGCAAAUCCCAUAAACCGUGGCUCAGUUCAGAUCGUAGGCUGCAACUCGCCUACGUGAAGUAGGAAUCGCUAGUAAUCGCAGGUCAGCAUACUGCGGUGAAUACGUUCCCGGGCCUUGUACACACCGCCCGUC